CGAACGGGUGAGUAACACGUGGGCAACCCUGCCCAAAAGAGGGGGAUAACACUUGGAAACAGGUGCUAAUACCGCAUAACCAUAGUUACCGCAUGGUAACUAUGUAAAAGGUGGCUAUGCUACCGCUUUUGGAUGGGCCCGCGGCGCAUUAGCUAGUUGGUGGGGUAAAGGCUUACCAAGGCAAUGAUGCGUAGCCGAACUGAGAGGUUGAUUGGCCACAUUGGGACUGAGACACGGCCCAAACUCCUACGGAAGGCAGCAG
RNAcentral lists this ribosomal RNA (262 nucleotides) under uncultured bacterium. RNAcentral describes it as "partial 16S ribosomal RNA". It matches the Rfam family "Bacterial small subunit ribosomal RNA", at positions 99 to 354 of the family's 1533-position model. The record is from RNAcentral.